Molecule: unclassified non-coding RNA, 829 nt
Filed under: Hevea brasiliensis (rubber tree)
Lineage: Eukaryota; Viridiplantae; Streptophyta; Magnoliopsida; Malpighiales; Euphorbiaceae
Source: RNAcentral
GUGAAGAUCAAUUGUUCGCACUGUACUAGCAAAAAACCGUAGAGAAACCCGUUCUGUUUCCGAGCAACUGCAGUUUAGCCCGCACUGGAUCCCCAUUCAUCAGAACGCCCGCAAAAAUGGCAAUAUCGACCCUCCAGAGACUCUCCUCCCAACUCCACAGCCUUCAAUCUCUGUCUCUUUUCACCAAAUCUGUCCUCGUCCGCUCCUCCGCCUCCACUGCCUCCGCCACCGCCACCGCCUCCGCCUCCGCCUCGUCCUCUGCCAAAGUCGCCGACAGAAUCGUUAAGCUCUCCGCUAUCGACCUUGACGGUAAAAAGCGGGAGGUCGUGGGCCUCUCCGGCCAGACUCUCCUCAAGGCUUUGACCAACGGCGGUCUUAUCGAUCCUGCCUCCCACCGCCUCGAGGAGAUCGACGCUUGCUCCGCUGAGUGCGAGGUCAGCAUCGCCCAGGAGUGGCUCGAUAAGCUGCCACCGAGAUCUUAUGAUGAGGAGUAUGUUUUGAAGAGGAAUUCUAGAGCUAGGGUUUUGAACAAGCACGCCAGGUUGGGAUGCCAGGUAGUCCUCACGCCAGACCUUCAAGGUAUGGUUGUUGCGAUCCCCGAGCCAAAACCCUGGGAUAUCCCCUAAAACGAGUAUGAGUUUAGGGUUUUGUUUUUGAUUUUGCUUUACCAUGCUGUUUGGAAUUGAAUAUUUAAUAAUGUGCACACAUCAAAUGGAUUUAUGUUUCCUGAAAUGUGGGAUUUGUGUAAGAUCACCCUUGAAUUGGGUAUGCUGGAACUUAAUUCUGAUGUUUUGGUUGUAUGCUGGAACUUAAUUCUGAUGUUUUGGUU